GAGCAAAGAUGGAGAGGAGGUCCCAGCCCCCGGGGCGCGGUGUUGCGCACGCGGGGGAGCUGGGCCGGGGAUAUGCGCACGUGUGCGCACGCGGCGGACAGGGACUAGGGGUGCAUGUGCGUAUAUAAGCACCUGGGGAGGGGGACAGAAGCUGAGGAGGUGUGCACCUGUGCAUGUACACGGGUUUCCACCCGGCCUCGGACGGUUUCCCAAUUUAACCGCUUUUAUGCUGAUCACGCCCACUCUGCUUCUCCAGUAAAGCCCCUCCCGGCCUAAGACUGUUCAAACCUUAGCGCUGGUUUCUUGAAGGGAGCAGAGAUCUUCGCGUUCUUUCUCUUCAGUACGCGGCACUCAGAGAAACCGGGAUCCAGGAGGAAGAGGGAUGCAGAAAUUGCCAGGCAGGGGAUUGAACCCACACCACAGCCGCAACCCGAGCCACUGCGGUGACAACACAAAUCCUUAAGCUGCUGAGCCACAGGACUCCAGGAUUAGUCAAUCUUAAGGACUCACAUGACUACUUACAGGCUGAAGCCACAGUCCUUUGAGAAGCUCCCCUUGGACCCGACAGCUUCUAGAAGAUCACGGCACCCAGUCUCCCCAGAUGUCUCCUUCCGGCCUCGUUUGCUACUUGAGCGCCCGUCUCUGCUCUUCCUCCGAAACGCCCACCUUGGCCAGGAGAGUAAUUCCUUUCAUCCCCUGACCACCAACCCUGCCGUCCAGCGCGGUGUCCUUCUGGGUGAUUUCAUGUUGCUGAGAUGACAUCGGGCUGUUUUUUAUGGAACCCCACAACGGAAGGUCCGAGGUCCUUCUCCUCGUGUCAUUUCCCUCCUCAGUAGAACCCAUGACCAUCGGCCAGGAGGGAAAGUGCCAGGAGCCAACAGCACGAUUUUGGGAAACUUGAUUUUAUGUUCAACCGAAUGCCUCUGCUCACGUCCCUACUGCUGUCCCCUUACCUCGCCGAGUCAGAGAAGGGCCCUGCAGCUUACCCACUGCAAUGAGGCUGGGGUGACCUCGGGAGGUCAAUGAGCUCGGAUGAGUGAUCUCAGCUCCUCUCUGGCUCAGAUUUCUUUAGCUGAGAAAUAAGAAAAUAAAAAAUAAAGUUCUUUAUAAGA
RNAcentral lists this long non-coding RNA (1112 nucleotides) under Sus scrofa (pig). RNAcentral describes it as "lncRNA (ENSSSCG00040019655.1)". The record is from RNAcentral. Lineage: Eukaryota; Metazoa; Chordata; Mammalia; Artiodactyla; Suidae.